This 435-nucleotide ribosomal RNA is filed under the name uncultured bacterium. RNAcentral describes it as "partial 16S ribosomal RNA". It matches the Rfam family "Bacterial small subunit ribosomal RNA", at positions 29 to 507 of the family's 1533-position model. The record is from RNAcentral.
AGCGAACGCUGGCGGCAGGCUUAACACAUGCAAGUCGAGCGGGCAUAGCAAUAUGUCAGCGGCAGACGGGUGCGUAACGCGUGGGAACGUACCUUUUGGUUCGGAACAACUGAGGGAAACUUCAGCUAAUACCGGAUAAGCCCUUACGGGGAAAGAUUUAUCGCCGAAAGAUCGGCCCGCGUCUGAUUAGCUAGUUGGUGAGGUAAUGGCUCACCAAGGCGACGAUCAGUAGCUGGUCUGAGAGGAUGAUCAGCCACAUUGGGACUGAGACACGGCCCAAACUCCUACGGGAGGCAGCAGUGGGGAAUAUUGGACAAUGGGCGCAAGCCUGAUCCAGCCAUGCCGCGUGAGUGAUGAAGGCCCUAGGGUUGUAAAGCUCUUUUGUGCGGGAAGAUAAUGACGGUACCGCAAGAAUAAGCCCCGGCUAACUUCGUG